GCCGAUGUGGCUCAGCGGUAGAGCGACGGUUUCGUAAACCGUCGGCCGGGGGUUCAAAUCCCUCCAUCGGCUCCA
RNAcentral lists this transfer RNA (75 nucleotides) under Methanomethylophilus alvi. Its description in RNAcentral is "Candidatus Methanomethylophilus alvus tRNA-Thr". It matches the Rfam family "tRNA". From Rfam's summary of the family: Transfer RNA (tRNA) molecules are approximately 80 nucleotides in length. Their secondary structure includes four short double-helical elements and three loops (D, anti-codon, and T loops). RNAcentral also lists the same sequence under 3 other names. Lineage: Archaea; Methanobacteriati; Thermoplasmatota; Thermoplasmata; Methanomassiliicoccales; Methanomethylophilaceae. The record is from RNAcentral.